GUGUUCACUUUGAAAGUACACAUAGUAAAACUUGAAUGAUGCAGAGAUUAGUAUGUCCUCUGUGUAAAAAUGAUAUGUACAUGUGUUACUUACUCCAUAUUUAU
Small nuclear RNA from Eptesicus fuscus (big brown bat), 104 nucleotides. Lineage: Eukaryota; Metazoa; Chordata; Mammalia; Chiroptera; Vespertilionidae. The record is from RefSeq and is a predicted model, not a curated record.